RNAcentral lists this ribosomal RNA (206 nucleotides) under uncultured bacterium. Its description in RNAcentral is "partial 16S ribosomal RNA". It matches the Rfam family "Bacterial small subunit ribosomal RNA", at positions 568 to 774 of the family's 1533-position model. The record is from RNAcentral.
CGCGUAGGCGGUCGGGUUAGUGGAUGUGAAAGCCCAGGGCUUAACCUUGGAAUUGCAUUCGAUACUGCCCGGCUAGAGUAUGGGAGAGGGAAGCGGAAUUUCCGGUGUAGCGGUGAAAUGCGUAGAUAUCGGAAGGAACACCAGUGGCGAAGGCGGCUUCCUGGCCCAAUACUGACGCUCAGGUGCGAAAGCGUGGGGAGCGAACA